Long non-coding RNA from Zonotrichia leucophrys gambelii, 1320 nucleotides. RefSeq lists it as uncharacterized. Lineage: Eukaryota; Metazoa; Chordata; Aves; Passeriformes; Passerellidae. The record is from RefSeq and is a predicted model, not a curated record. The transcript is spliced from 4 exons.
GGAUCCCUGCAGCUCACAAAGGCACAGCUAACAGCGAGUUUGGGGUUUUUUGGUGCUACCUGUGUGUCCUGCGUGGGGUGAGCUCUGUCACCCCCUCUGCUCUGCCCUGCUUGCACCUCACUGCCUUUGCUUCAUGGACUGGGCCUGGGAGGCCUGUGCUCCUCCUUUGCAAUUUGUCUGCCUCACAAAAGGACAUUUUUGGGCUCAAAUUCCCUCUGGGACUGUGCAAGGUUGGUGCUUAGAAUUGCCUAGAAUGACUGUGAGUGUCCAGCAGGCUCUGGCUGUGGGGAAGGGAAGCUGUGCUGCUACGGGAGAAAGGAGAGGAGGAUGUGCUCACAGAGCACAGAGACUUUUGUGGGGUGUUUCCAGCUGGAUUUUGCUCAUGCACUGUGCUGACAGUUCAUCUUUGUGACCACUUGGAUUUUUCCUGCUGGGAAGGACAGGGAGCUGCUCUCCACGAGGCAGGCUGACUUUGCACGUGGCAUCAUUUCCCUUUAUUUCAGUCCUGGACCAGAAAUUCCUGCUGGAGUGGCACUGAGCAGAGGAUACCAGCCUUUUCAGCUCAUUGCUUUUCCACGUGGCCAGAAGAUUGUCAUGACCUCUCUGCAGUGCAGCCUUGGAUGGAACUUCUUACAGCGACGAGGAUGCCAGCCUGGCUCAGGUUCUGGGAGCUGCACGGUGGGGACACAUAACUGGUGACCAGAGUCCUCCCUGAGGGCUCCAGUGACACCAGGGCUAGUGACACCAGGGCUAGUGACACCAGACACUCAGCCACAGCUGGCACUGGCCAGGAGCCCCGUGCUGCUCCAAAAUUGGGACAUAUGGGGGUGCCCAUGGCCUCUCUUAAUACUCCGCUGGUGGCGUUGCUGGUAAGGUACCUGCAGGAAAGGACUGUGUUUGUACCAUAAACAAGGCAUUUCUCCCUAAAAUCAGGAGUGCACCUUAGGUUGGCUUCAGCAGGAUGUCUUUCCUCAGCACUGCGCCUCCUCUGCACUCUUUAUCAGAAAUAGCUUGUGAACAAUGAGAAGAUCUUUUCUUUCUUCCCCCCACCCCACCCUGCUUGGAUUCAGCAAAUAUACUCACAAGAGGAGCCAUUAAAAAUGUUCAUCUUGAACAUUCUUUAUUGAUGUAAUUUCAGCAGAGCUGACUGUGAGGCAGUCGCUGUUGGUAUUCUGCCCCGAGAUGGCAGAUCCUGCUCAGAACCCUCAUCCUGUGAAAACUUCUGUUUGUAUUCCUGAGCAUGUGGAGCAGUCCCUGAAAGCCGUACAGGACACAGCUCAGAAACACUUGAUAAACUUCACCGUCUGUUUCUUAAGUGGU